RNAcentral lists this long non-coding RNA (2074 nucleotides) under Neodiprion lecontei (redheaded pine sawfly). RNAcentral describes it as "uncharacterized LOC124293061". The record is from RNAcentral. Lineage: Eukaryota; Metazoa; Arthropoda; Insecta; Hymenoptera; Diprionidae.
CUUUGUGUACACUUUUUACACUCGGUCGAGACUAAAGCACACGAAAAUAAAAUAAUCUCGAAUAUAGGUGAUGAGAGAAAUUAAUGACAUUGUAGUCAGGGCAGCUAGGUGGUCUAAUGGAGUUACCGCCAUUGCGAGAAUCUUCGGAACCGAUGCUACAAACCUAUAUGUAGGAACCAUAAUCCUUGUGAGUCAUAAUGCACCACUCCUAAGUGCAUUCAGACAUCGUGUGACGACGCAUGGUCUGCCCGAUAUAUCGUGGACAGAACGCCACUGCCUAUACGACGAAUCCGGUCGAAGCGAAUACCUAAAGAGUAUAGAAUAGCGUAAAGGGCAGAUCGCAGCCUGCCAUUCCCGGACUUCCCGGCCAGGCGCCGGACCGACAUAUAAGAUCGCUGCUCCAGCGUUGAGCCAUCGCUCCGAGGACCGAUUCCGCGUACCUGUCGAUAGUGACUGUAUCACGGAGUAUGGAGCCAUAAUCCACCACUCCAAGUUGAGAGUUACUGCAAGUUGUUGCUCCCCAUUCGGCAACUUUGACCGGGAGGUAUCCUCCUUGCUCCACACAUGCUUUUGCCAUAGGGUCCCCAACGAUAGGCAACUAGGAAGGUAAGGUGCCGGCAACUGAAAAUUUUGUGAGAGCUGGUAUCAACGACGAAAUCAUGAGCGGAACAUUACGUGUCAUCUAUCGGUAAUUUUUGAAGAUGCGUAACACAAUUACAACUGAUAUUCGCCACAGGAGGAAUGACCCAAUUAUAGUGGGGAAUAAACGACCAAUUACAGGAAGCAGGAUUACCUGACGACAUCAGCGAGAACGGCGAGCCAAACCCCGACCUCCAUCUAUUCUACGCUCAUGAGAUUGAGAUAACUCUUUCUAUCUCGCUCGUUACGUGUAGAAAUUGCCUUCACUUCAUUUUCCUUUCCUUCUUCUUUACUGCUAUCGCUACCGUUUCUCUAUCGUUUUAUAUGACCGUUUAGCUCCUUUCCUUUUCUAUUACCUUUUUUUUCUUACUAUCGAUAAAUUUUAUUUAAAUUUAAAUCAGUGCAUGCGUGCCCGAGUCACCGGCUAAGGGUACAAGCUGUGACUGUCCGUGAGACUUGGGGUCCUCAAAUAGUUGCCGUCAGACACGAAUGACUCAGUGCUGUACACAUAUAUUUGUCUCACUGUGCUGUAACUAUCUGGUCCUAUUCGAGUUUUACAAAAGCAAAGUGUUGAAGUUGUCAGGUAAAAUAACUUUGGUUAAAUAUAAAUUUUAAUUAACUAAUUGCAUUCUGUGCUUUUAGUUCUAUGGUGUCACAAAUGAAUCAUAAAUGGAAAUUACAAUAAACGAAUAAGAAAAUGUAAAAUAAAUUUUUUAAAUUAAAUAAUUAACUCACGCAUAAACUAGACGAUACGAUUGUGUUUUACGCUUCUUUGUGGCUACUGUUUUACGUAAGUUUGGCUGUGUCUCAUAAAUAUUGAUCUUGUAGUGUCACGAAUAGCUGACAAUUAUUGAUCAGUCACAGGGGUUAUCAUUAUUAUUAUUCACCAAUCAUAGAAAAUACCUACCGUACAGGGUGAGUUUGGGCAGAUCCGAACGAGGGAGGGACUUAUCUUCAUCAUCAUCGAUACCCCGCCCUUUUCUCAAUGAAAAUUUUAUCAAAAUGUUGAUACUAAGCCUGGUGGUAGGACUUGAAAAAAGUAUGAUACAGCAAGGGAGCGAGUCAUUCGUGGUGAUGAGCCCCUCUUGCAUUUAGGCCUGGAAAAAGCUCACGAUAAACAUAAUAAACUUAUACAUGACUACAGUAUUACAGGUUAUUUUAAUCGGUAUAAUUUGUUUAUUCGAAAAUUGAUUUGAGCAUAUCAACGAUUUUGCGAGUUACUGUUACCCAUAAAACUAUAUAUUCAUCUGUAAUUGUAGACUUUCUUAAAUUGUUGUUUAAUAUCUGAUUAUUUUGACGGUUAAUAACACAUGAGAGUCUAUGCUGAUUAAAUACAGGAAAUUGUUUCAAUAAAUAUUUCUCGAAAAAAUAUCUUUACAGACUGUUAACAUCGUAAGCAGUUUUCAAAGACCAAGAAAAGAUAUGAAUCAUCCAA